CUUGAUACCCCUACACCACCUGGGUUCUGAGCUACCAACGAGCUUGAAACCACCAACAUCUUACUAACAGGUUAACAGUCCAUAUUGAAACAGCCAACUCACUACUCUUGCUCUACGCUUCCUUAAGCAGGCCUGUUACCCCCUUAACUUUCCUUCCACUAGCCUGCCACAAGCUCAGACCUUGACCCCUUAAGCCGUCUGAGCUCUGCCACCCAGAAGAAAUAGAGCCUUGGCCAAACCCUCCUGAGCGCCCAAAUUAAAUAAAUCGAUCCCCACCUCUGAGAGGUGCACCCCAUCAUCUCUGAAGUACCCUGGUAGCAUGUCCUCUAGUUCCCUGUGCCAAACUACCACCCCACCCAGCUUCC
Molecule: non-coding RNA, 365 nt
Organism: Pelobates cultripes (western spadefoot toad)
Lineage: Eukaryota; Metazoa; Chordata; Amphibia; Anura; Pelobatidae
Source: the annotation of a GenBank genome assembly